RNAcentral lists this ribosomal RNA (959 nucleotides) under human gut metagenome. RNAcentral describes it as "bacterial LSU rRNA". It matches the Rfam family "Bacterial large subunit ribosomal RNA", at positions 1957 to 2925 of the family's 2925-position model. The record is from RNAcentral.
UAGCGAAAUUCCUUGUCGGGUAAGUUCCGACCCGCACGAAAGGCGUAAUGAUUUGAGCACUGUCUCGACAAUGCAUCCGGUGAAAUUGAAGUACCAGUGAAGAUGCUGGUUACCCGCGCCAGGACGGAAAGACCCCAUGGAGCUUUACUCCAGUUUGAUACUGGGAUUCGGUACUGCAUGUACAGGAUAGGUGGGAGACGAAGAAGGAUGGACGCCAGUCUGUCCGGAGUCGCUGUUGGGAUACCACCCCUGUAGUACUGGGUUUCUAACCAGUUGCCAUGAACUGGCAAUGGGACAAUGUCAGGCGGGGAGUUUGACUGGGGCGGUCGCCUCCGAAAGGGUAUCGGAGGCGCUCAAAGGUUCCCUCAGAAUGGUUGGAAACCAUUUGAAGAGUGCAAAGGCAGAAGGGAGCUUGACUGCGACACCGACGGGUGGAGCAGGUACGAAAGUAGGACUUAGUGAUCCGGUGGUAUAAAGUGGGAUUGCCAUCGCUCAACGGAUAAAAGCUACCCUGGGGAUAACAGGCUUAUCACUCCCAAGAGUUCACAUCGACGGAGUGGUUUGGCACCUCGAUGUCGGCUCAUCGCAUCCUGGGGCUGUAGUAGGUCCCAAGGGUUGGGCUGUUCGCCCAUUAAAGCGGUACGCGAGCUGGGUUCAGAACGUCGUGAGACAGUUCGGUCCCUAUCCUCCGUGGGCGCAGGAGAAUCGAUGGAGGCUGCCCCCAGUACGAGAGGACCGGGGUGGACGCACCUCCGGUGAACCGGUUGUCGACCAACGGCACGGCCGGGUAGCCGCGUGCGGCGCGGAUAACCGCUGAAGGCAUCUAAGCGGGAAGCCGUUCCAGGGAUUAGUUCUCCUUCCGGUAAGGGCCCAGGUAGACUACCUGGUCGAUAGACGGCAGGUGCAAGGACGGCGACGUCCUCAGCCGAGCCGCACUAAUCGCCCGAGCUCUUCCGGAA